GCCUGAUAUUGAAUUUUGGUACAGUUUGUACAGGAUAGGCGGGAGCCAUUGAAACCGGAGCGCUAGCUUCGGUGGAGGCGCUGGUGGGAUACCGCCCUGACUGUAUUGAAAUUCUAACCUACGGGUCUUAUCGACCCGGGAGACAGUGUCAGGUGGGCAGUUUGACUGGGGCGGUCGCCUCCUAAAGUGUAACGGAGGCGCCCAAAGGUUCCCUCAGAAUGGUUGGAAAUCAUUCGUAGAGUGCAAAGGCAUAAGGGAGCUUGACUGCGAGACCUACAAGUCGAGCAGGGACGAAAGUCGGGCUUAGUGAUCCGGUGGUUCCGCAUGG
Molecule: ribosomal RNA, 328 nt
Filed under: Bacillus thuringiensis
Lineage: Bacteria; Bacillati; Bacillota; Bacilli; Caryophanales; Bacillaceae
Description: bacterial LSU rRNA
Rfam family: Bacterial large subunit ribosomal RNA
Source: RNAcentral